UGGCUUCCCGGGAUCGGGUGCCGUCCGGUCNCACGGUCGCGUCCCGUCAGACGCAUUUGACUCUCGCCCGAAGGACGCUGCAGCCGGUGGGGCAGUGGAAAACGUGACGGCCUGAAAGUCGGGAGAUGGCAGUUGACCGGUGGCGCGCACUCGGCGCGCCUGCCGGUUGUUAGCCGUCCCGUCUGUGGCCCGUCGCCCCACCGUGGUGUCGCUAGGCCCUAAAGGGCUUCCUCCGUCUCCUUUAAAAUCGAAGCGAGUAGAUCGCCGCUGGAGCGGGCAGCCGACACGUCGCACUCAUUGCGUGUGGACGGUCGAGCGAGUCUACCCCGCAGGCGGACGGCAGGGCUCGUAGGAGGUCGGAGGCUCGCAGCGAGUAGGUCGGUCACCCACCCGACCCGUCUUGAAACACGGACCAAGGAGUCUAACAUGUGCGCGAGUCAAUGGGUCUUGAACAGGCCCAGAGGCGCAAUGAAAGCAAAGGCAGGGCGUCGUGCCGGCCGAGUUGGGAUCCCCGCUCUCGGGUGGGGCGCACCAACGACCCGUCCCGUCCGGCUCGCCGGUGGGGCGGAGUGUGAGCGUACACGUUGGGACCCGAAAGAUGGUGAACUAUGCCCGGACAGGACGAAGCCA
This 630-nucleotide ribosomal RNA is filed under the name Portia jianfeng. RNAcentral's name for it is "eukaryotic LSU rRNA". The stretch from base 412 to 630 matches the Rfam family "Eukaryotic large subunit ribosomal RNA", at positions 665 to 854 of the family's 3401-position model. The record is from RNAcentral. Lineage: Eukaryota; Metazoa; Arthropoda; Arachnida; Araneae; Salticidae.